Molecule: ribosomal RNA, 458 nt
Filed under: uncultured bacterium
Lineage: Bacteria
Description: partial 16S ribosomal RNA
Rfam family: Bacterial small subunit ribosomal RNA
Source: RNAcentral
CCUACGGGAGGCAGCAGUGAGGAAUAUUGGUCAAUGGGCGAGAGCCUGAACCAGCCAAGUCGCGUGAGGGAGUACUGCCCUAUGGGUUGUAAACCUCUUUUGUCGGGGAGCAAAAGCCGGACGUCUCCGCCUGUGAGAGUACCCGAAGAAAAAGCAUCGGCUAACCCCGUUCCAGCAGCCGCGGUAAUACGGAGGAUGCGAGCGUUUUUCGGAUUUAUUUGGUUUAAAGGGUGCGCAGGCGGAUUUUUAAGUCAGCGGUCAAAGCGUGGGGCUCAACCCCCUCCAGCCGUUGAAACUGGGGAUCUCGAGUGUGCGAGAGGUAUGCGGAAUGCGUGGUGUAGCGGUGAAAUGCAUAGAUAUCACGCAGAACCCCGAUUGCGAAGGCAGCAUACCGGUGCACAACUGACGCUCAGGCACGAAAGCGUGGGUAUCGAACAGGAUUAGAUACCCGGGUAGUC